Molecule: unclassified non-coding RNA, 240 nt
Filed under: uncultured fungus
Lineage: Eukaryota; Fungi
Description: partial contains 5.8S ribosomal RNA, internal transcribed spacer 2, and large subunit ribosomal RNA
Source: RNAcentral
AACGCACAUUGCGCCCCUUGGUAUUCCGGGGGGCAUGCCUGUUCGAGCGUCAUUACAACCCUCAAGCUCUGCUUGGUCUUGGGCGUCCCCGGCGACGGGGUGCCCUAAAAUCAGUGGCGGUGCCAUCUGGCUCUAAGCGUAGUACAACUCUCGCUCUGGACGUCUGGUGGAUGCUUGCCAACAACCCCCAAUUUUUUACAGGUUGACCUCGGAUCAGGUAGGGAUACCCGCUGAACUUAA